Clupea harengus (Atlantic herring) is the source of this 4915-nucleotide long non-coding RNA. Lineage: Eukaryota; Metazoa; Chordata; Actinopteri; Clupeiformes; Clupeidae. The record is from Ensembl.
GGUUGAAGCUAAGUUAAUCAAUUAGCCUUUUAGCCCGUUAAGAUUAGCGAGCUGAUUGAGAACAGCAAAUAUCGGUUCGUUAACGGCUGAUCCGCAUCCAAAUCAUGUGGUUAAUUUCAACCAGGCUAAAGUUAUCAUGGCAUUUGCGCGUGCACGUCCUACUUCAAAAGGCAGGAAAGGUCGAUCACCAAAACCAUGAUUUUCUAACGGUAUAAUGGUUCUAAACUCAAAGAAAAGGGCUAUUUUUUCUCCGCUGGCGAGUAGGAGAUGAACAUGAACGCUUAUGAUGAAUACAAGACCAUAAUCAUGGCCAAAUUCAACACCACCACCGCUGUGAGAGCAAGGUGUGUUGGGAUGUUUAUAGGGUGAUAUGUGUGUAUGAAUAACUGUUGUUCUUCGCAUCACCGACACUACAAAAAUGUAUCACUCGCAAAAAAGCGCAAGACAGUCAAUGUUCGACUGUGGUGUUUGCAAUAAAUCACUCGAGAAGGUCUUGUAAAUUAAUGAUUCCUUGUCGGCUGAAUCGGUAGCGCUCAUACAAGAAUAAUUGAUCUUGGCGAUUGCAAAGAACUCUCUCCCUCCGCUAAUCUUAUUAACUAUCUAAUAUCAGUCCUUGGUCAAUGGGAUCCCUCCUUUUUCUGGGGGUGUGGCAAGCUUAUCCAGCUACACUUAAGUUAGCCUGCCCUGGAGCAGGUUAGUGCUAAUCGAUAUGUAACUAUGGUGAUUUAUCAAAAGUUGCUUCCACAAACCAAAAAGAGGGGCGUUUUUUAUCUUAGCCUGAAAAUUAGCUCGCUAAACUGCUUAGCGAGCUACGACGAAUACCCCCCUGGCGGGAUCAAGAAAGCACAAGGACUAGACAAGGGAACAAACAUGUGACAACACAAGGGAGACAAACUCAGAAACCGAACAAGGACAGAACACAGACCUUACUCAAUCUGGGGAAACCGAACAAGGACAGAACACAGACCUUACUCAAUCUGGGGGGGAAUCUAUCAACACUAGAAUCGACACAUCCGUUAAAGUCACCUCAAAGAUAACAUAAGAGUCACUAUAUUUGUCAAGAAGUAAUUUGGCAUUAUUCGAUAUCUGGACAAAUAAAGUUUUGUUGGACAAAUGUGAAUUAUAUCCAUAAACAUUACAUACAAUAAAAAUGCCAUUGUCUUGCUUUAUGACAAUCAUCACCCAUCUUCCUUCAGAGGAUUUCACUGUUUCUAACACUUCACCUUUGAAUUUGUGUAAAAGUAUAGCAACCCCUGCUGAGUUAUUACUUCCAUGACUAUAAUGUAUAGUAUUUCCCCAUUGUGAUCUCCAAAAUUUGACAUCCAAUUCAGAUCAGUGAGCUUCUUGGAGCAUUACAAUGUCUGCCUCACUUCUAAGGUCUGUGACUGCUCCUAUAACAAAAUGUUCAUGCAUAUUUAGCUAUGUCAUUUCAGUUAUAUAAUUUUACGCCGACGUGUAUUGAAGUAGCCUAAUCUUUCGAUGUAUUUGAAACAGCUUACCUUAUAGUCAUAUUAAUAUCUACAUUAAGGUGAAAUGUAUAGCACAAUAGCUCCAUCUAGUGGGGAGCCCAGCAACGUCACCUAAAGUAGACUGCCGUAAAAAACAUGGAAGCAAUACUUUGCAAUGGACAGUAGAUCGUUUUGGUUCUGUAGACCCUCAGUGUAAUAAACAGGUCGCUCUCUUUAGACUAACUGAGGGUUACCAGUUAACUUGUACAGACCAGAAAAAUAUGUAGAGAAUGAGUGACUUUAAAAAGAAAAGUUGACUCUUUCAGAGUAUUUUGGGAGUGCUAAAAAAACUACACACAAUGCUUACUGUGUGAAACCGAGAGUUGCUUCACCAUAUUAACUGGUAAACUGGGUGUAUCUGUGAAACUACAAAAACAAAUGCCCCCUUUCCUUCAAGACUGACUUUUUUAAUUUACAGUUUAAUUAGUUCAUUUAUCAGUUUGGCUUAUUUACAAACAACACAUGCAAACACAUUUGAACAACCUCUAGCAUAUUGGCUCAAAGUACCAACAUUAGAAAUGACUAUCCAACAAAUCACAACAAUAGUCAUAUUUAUCUAUUCUAUAACUGAAAUGACAGCUGUGGGAUAAGCCCACAAACAAAGCAAUCUGGGGAAAUUUUAGGUUUCAGUCAGGAAGUUGUGACAGCAAGAGUUCCUUCCUCAUUUUAACUGAAACAGGACAAACGCGGUUAUUUAUGGGUUGUGAACAGGCCGAUCGUGUAAUCUUGGUCUUUAUGCAGGAUGUCUAGUAGUCCUCUCAUGUCCCUGACUGAGAACUCACACAAGAAACUGUCAGGCAGUUUGAGACUAUGGACCUGAGGUUUCAUAUAUGGAGUUCAUCCUCGUGAUGGCCUCAUCUGCAGAUGGGUCUGAAGUGAGUUCUCCAUCCCCACUGAACACAGGGUCAGUCUUCUGAUUGGUCAGCUGUAUGAAUGAGUACGCUGGUUCCUGCUCUCCCUGGCUCACCGCAUAAGGGGAACCUUCAGGAAUAAUUAAAAAUAUAAUAACUUGCUUCAGUGCUAACUGAUUUUCACUGUUAAAGCCAAAUAAAUUCAUUUUCAAGGAGAAUAAAAAAACACUCAAAGUGUUAAAAACAACGCUUCUGGAAACUCACAGUCGUCAUCAUCCACUCCCUCCCCGUUCUGAUAUCUAGAGGAGACAGCAGUGAGGAAGGAUAGCAUGGGGAGCAACCAUGAGGAUAUCUACUUUUAAGGGCCGUCCACACUGCCAAUGACAACUAGAACAAUAACUGUAAAUACUAUGGUUUUAAUUAUCACUCGAGCUUAUUACAAUGGCAACUUCUAUACCACACAAACGAUAACGGAAUGAAGAACAGUUUCUUUGGGCAUCACUUAAAGAGCGAAUGUGCAAAUGAUAAAAAACUAACAGCCAAUCAAAAUCGAUCAAAUUUGAAUGGCGUCACAUUCAAAUAUGAAAUUUUAUUUCUGAGAUGUUUUCCCUAUGGUUGGUCAGUGUGGACGGUCAUAUCAUUAUACUUACAGUUGUCAUUACAGUUAUUGUUGGAUUAACAGCCCUUUUGUCAUUAUUUUACAGAGACCCACCUCAAUUAAAAUGUAUAAACAACAACAACCACAAAAAUCUAAAAUGUUACCUUUGAGUUAUUGUAGUCUGAGACACUGUAAAGACAAAACAAAACAACAACUGAAUUGUAUGUUUAUGAUAAAAGAUCUCAUUAAAAAUACUACAUGUACAUGUUUCACCUUUGGUCUCAGCUGAUUUCCUUUUAAGCAGUAUGAUGAUGAUGAUGAUGAUGACAGGGAGGAGGAGAAGAACGGGUACUAAUGCACCAAUCACAUAGAUGAGAUGGGAAUCUGCAGGUUUUGGAAAAUAUGAUUUUGAUUCAGCUUUACCAGAGUCCUUUCACAGAGGGAAAUGCAUGCUUUCCCACAUCAAGCUUUGCUUUCCAGUAAUAUUAUAUGUGGGGGUUCCUAAAAAAAAGAUAAUUUUCUAGAGACAUAUUGUAUCUUGCAUUGCAUUGCAUUUACUUGGGCUCACUACUAUUCAUUUCAUUUGGAAUGUCAAACUGAACUUACCAGCAGUGAUAUUUCGGGUGGUAUUUGAUUUGUCUUCAACACACUAACAUUAUCGUGAAAUUUAGUUUAUUGUCAAGAAUUUACCAUUAAUUAUUUAGUCAAGCACGUUAGGAUAAGCAUGGAUCACAUAACACAUGAAUGUCUGGCUUAGGAAACCAGUUCCCAUGUGUAAAUAAUGUUAAGGUUUUUAAAAUGUGCAUCCAACUAAAUGUUCAGGUUCAAGCUCAACUGUUGAAGCACAAUGUGACAAAAUAAACUGAGAGGAAAUAAAAUUUCAAGUAAGGUUCAUAGACUUACCAGGAUUACCCACAAUGACUGUGGUGUUGGUUAUUACUGCCCAAGCAUGCUGGUUAUAACUAUAUGUGUUCACCUGUAAGACACACAGAUACUGUCCACGGUCUGACUGAGUGGCUUUGCUGAUCUUCAGGUUAUGGAUGUUGUUAUCAUCAAGGGAGGGUUUUGAUGUGUGUGAUCUCCUUAACAGAAGAUCUUUGUCAAUGGCACAGUGGGCAUCAAAACCAAAAUCAUCAGUAGCGUAAUCAAAGGAAUACACACAUGUGCUGCUGUGAGCACCAGUCUUGAUCCAGUACACCACAAAAGGAUUAUUGGGAUAAUACCCCUUUGUUUUUAAAUCACACGUCAGAUUAAUUGAUUCUCCUCCAGACACAAGCACUGAGUUUUCCAUUACAGGUCCAGACACAACUGUGAACAAAGGGAAAUGUUGAAAUGAAAUAUUCAAAAUGACAUGUAGUUCAGCUUGAUGUUGAUAUAAAGGGUAGGCUACAUAUACACUUACUGUCUGGUUCUGCCUGAGCAACAAUGAAGGACUCCACAUGAUGAGAAGAGGGUUUAAAUGGAUGCAUGAAGCAGGAGUCAGAUUCAGCAUUGACACAGGCAAAGAAUCCCCUCAUUACACAGAUUUCACAACUGGUGGAUUUGUUUUUCUUUAUCUCUUGGCAUAGAUCCUGUCUUUGAGCUUUGCAUUUUGAGUUUGUUGUAUAAAUACUGUCUAUGACACCGCAGUCCACUAUGUUGUCUGAAUUUACAUCGGCCUCCCAUUGACAUGUUUCACAGGACAGUGUUACCUCCUCCCCUUUCUUUAGGUAAUGAAAGUGAGUGGACCCUUCAAGAAAAAAGAACACAGUUAUUGAUUCAUGGUUACAUUUGUACUGCAACCCUAUACUGUUAGCACAUCAUUUAAAACUACUAUUAUUCCGUACUGUCAUUGAGCAAGGAACUUUUAUAUCCACAUUUAGAAUAAAUUGAACAUCAUUAGUAAAAGAAAAAUCUCCUACCGUAGCAUUGUAUCAGGAAGCAGCAUAGAAGAAUCAAACAUAGUGCCUCCAUCUCAG